Molecule: long non-coding RNA, 7388 nt
Organism: Equus quagga
Lineage: Eukaryota; Metazoa; Chordata; Mammalia; Perissodactyla; Equidae
Exons: 6
Source: RefSeq, a predicted model, not a curated record
AUAGCCCUGGAUAAAGUCUGUCUGGCCGUGUUAACAAGCAUCAUGAGUGGCCUUUUCUGUGACAGCAUGCCCUGAGCAGGCGGAAUAGCAGAGCUGAGGAUGGAGGCGGUGCUCGUGACCAUGGAGGGGCGGGCGGGGUGGGACGGGAGCUCAGCAGGGCAAAGGAUCUGCUGGCAGAGGAGCACAGAAACAGUAAAGCUGCCGUUCAGGAGGCUCAGAGCCCUGGGACCCAUCACAGGAUUGCUCUCCUGCCCCUCAUUUUCUCCACGCCCCACCGGCCUCGGCGCAGUGUUGGUGGCUAGACGACAAGGGGCCCCAGCGCUUCCCUGGAGGGCUGGCCUGCGCCAUCGUUGGGGGCUCCCCCAGCCACUUGCCCUUCUCCUUCAGGAAUCUCAGGGCUUCCAGGGAUCCCUAAUACAGCUCCUCCAGGUCCUGCAGGUAAGUGACACCACGGGCAAGGUGGUUCCCCUCUCGGUGCCUGCUUCCCUCAUCCUCACUAAUGGGGACGAGAACAAAUUCUGCCCUCUGGGGCUGUCCUGAGAAUCCACACAGUGACAGUGAUUCCCCAGGGCUCAGCAGCAGCCAGUCUGCUCCCCUGUCCCUGGGGAUGUGCGGCAAGGUCUGGAGACAGUUUUGGUUGUACGACUUUGUGGGGAGGGUCCUACUGUUUGCAUCUAGCGGGUGGAGAUCAGAGAUGCCACUCAACAUCCUCCAGUGCACAGGACGGCCCCACAGCAAAGUCAUCUGGCCCCAAAUGUCAGUGGUGCUGAGGUUGGGAAAUCCUGAUCAAAUUCGACCAAUACUAGCCGUGACUGUCAUCUUCCUUCUGAAUCCCCGGGGACCUCCCGGCGGGGGCCCAGAACCAGCAUUCAGGCCAGCACCGCUUGGUUUCUGAGGAGCUUUCCUCAAGUCCCCUCGGUCCUGUCUCACAGCAUCCCUGCGAGGGAGGGCGUAUUCUCCUCACUUUAUUUUUUCACGAUUUAAAAGAAAAUGUUCAAACCCACAGAAAAGUUGAAAAGACAAGAACAGUGAACACCUGCAGCCCUUCAUUGGGUUUACAGACUGUUAACUCUUGUUGAUUUGCCUGUGUACUCUCUCUCUCCACACACACAUAGUGGGGAACAUAUUAUAUUUAUCUUUUACUAAUAAAAAUUUAUGUUUUUACUAAUCCAUUUAUUUUUCACUAAUCCAUUUGAAAUUAUAGUCAGCACACGCCACCCCCAAGGACUCAGCAUGUAUUUCCUGAGAAUAAGGACAUUCUCCACAUUGCCACAACCCAGGGAAGUUUAACGUCAGUCCCACACCAUCAACUGAGAGAUGGUCCAUGUUCAAAUUUCUCUCAUUGUCCCGAAACGUCUCAUAGCUCUUGUCUCAAAUGUUUUGCCUGCUGGGUUUUUUUUCCUUUCCCUUUUUGGAAGUGUGGGUCCAUUGUCCGGCAGCAGGUUCCCUGUUCUGGAUUUGUCUGAUUGCUUCCCCAUGACAGGAUUCAGGUUAAAGGUCUUUGCUGAGAAGCCGCAGAGUGAACUUGAACUUUGCACCAUAUGGAGCGAGGAGGCUGCUGUUGGCCUGUCUCCAGGGUCAUCAGAGAUGCUCGGGGUGACCACCUGGUCCAGGCAGGACCGCGGGGCCCAUCGAUAUUCAAGGCAUCGUCUUCCCUUUGUAUUUGGCGGGGGCCGCCUCACCCAGGAAGUUACGCAUCCCCACAGUGGGACAGCCAGUGGUCAGCGACUGACCGACAAAGGAUACAAAAGAUCAGCUGCCGUGGCAAUUGUUCCAGGCUGAUGAUACUGUUCUGCAUCUUGACAGAAGAGCAUUUUGAAGCCCGAUGCCUCCAUAGGGACAUUUGGAGACAGAAAAGCAGGAGUGGAAGAGAAAGCCGAGCGCAGCGGAGGGAUGCUACAUAAAGGCAACGGUGACCAUGGACAGAGGGCUCCCUCCCGUGCCAGGCACGAUCUGUCACCUGGAGCUUCUCACCUAGUUUUGCAAUAACCACAUGGGGUGUGGUGUCACGUCCACUUCACAGGUGAGGAAUCAAGCAUCUUACCCAAGACCUGACAGGUAACAAGUGGCAGAGGUAGAACGCCCUGAGGCUGGCAACUUCCUUGCGCUACCAUAGAAAGAGGGUCCCUAUUUAUUUCCCCUGGAUGUCCCCAAACAAAGGCGUGACAUUCCAAGAGAGCCACUCCCCUCUUCUGGCCAAGAGCCAUGGCUGCGAACCACUGAGGAGUGGAAGGGAGUCCCUGGCACCACCCUUUGCCCCCUCCCAUGCCCACCUCUCCCUCCCCACCCCAUCCAGCAGGCCCCGGCCUUGCCCUGGGUCAGGCUCCUCCUCUUGCUGAGGGUCUCCCUGCUCAGAGCAUCGUGCCUGCCUCCCCAUCACCUCACAGCACAGUCUGGCCAAAGCAGAACAAGCUGGGGGCGGGGGGCCGUCUCUCCUCCCCGCACCUGCAGACUUGGAGGACGAGGCCCCAUCGUACUCAUUUUGUACAAUGGCAGCUCUCACUUCAACAGGCAAAGGGCGGUUUUGAGGAAUGUGUCAUGGUUCCGUAGAGGUUGAGCUCAGGGGAGCUGGGUGAAGGGUCCGUGAAAACUCUCUACUGUCUUUGCCACUUUUAUUUAAAUCUGAAGUUAUUCAAAAUUAAAAGUUUAUGAAAAGAAAGAAAAAGGCAGAAUUCAGUGAAGACUGAAGCAGCCCAGGGAGCCGCAGCCCACGGAGGACGGGCUCCAGCCACAUGGAUGUUGCCCGACCAGCUUUCCCAAGGCUCCGGAGUGGGACGGAGCGGAGCGGCAGAGGAAGAGCCCAAGAAACGCAGUGUCCAACCCAGGCAGGGACUCCAGCCAGAUUCAUGGGGUGGAAAAUGGGAUAUUUGCUAGCGCACGAGACACGUUUGGACAGAACUUAUUACAGAAACUUUCACACAUGGGCCAAGUAGAGAGCUGGGUAUCAUGGGCCUCAUGCACCUGUGAGCAGCACCUGUGAGGCCCGCAUGUGUCCUGAGGGGGCUGCUUCUGGGAGCAGGUUAGGGGAAUGGGGGUCUGUUAAUAGAAGCAACACCACUUCACCCUUCUCAUUAGACCUUUUAAACCAUGGCGAGGAGGUGGGGCAGGAAAUCCCCUUGCUCUCGCCAGCCCCUUGCUGUGUGAGGUGGGGCACGCUGCUCUCUGGGUCUCACCUGCCUCAGCUGGAAAUGAGGGGCUUGACCUAGAUGCUUUCCAGACCCCAAAGACAUGUCCAAAGCUGAAUUCGUUACUGGCCCCUACACCUGCUCUGGCUCCCAGGUCCCCAUCUCAGCCAAUGGCACCGCUAUCCACCCAGUUACUCAGACCAGGAACCUGGGUGUCAUUCAGACUGUUCCCCGCUUUUCACCCCUAGUCUCCUCAGUCACACAAAGAUUCUGCCCUUUCUGCCUCCUAAAUGUUUUCCACCGUGGCCAUCUUAAUCCCUGCCCCAUCCUUGUCAUCAUCAUCUCUUCUGCCUACUGCACUGGUCCCAGCCUCCCAUUGCAUCCUUAUUCUUCUUCCAUGCUGGAGCCAUGUCCAGUGGAGAUCACACUUACAUUUACAUUAAGAUGCGGACCUUGAUGCCCAAACUUCCAUCUGCUCAGUGUGAAGGAAGGUCUAUUUCCCCAAAUGUUUCUGAGAUUCUCUGUGAGCAUUUACACCCCUGAAAGCCAGUCUCCUUGACAACUCUGUGAGGGACAAAUUUGACUAUGCACCUGCUGGUCUCGCUGGGUUGAGUGUUGUGGCUGCUAUGGGUGACCGAGUGGGGGUCCACACCGCCUGGACAGUAGCUCCCUUGGGGCGCCUCCGCUGUCUGUGUCCCCACUCUUGUCACUUCUGUCCUCAUGGAGCUCUGAUGGCUGAUCAGGCCCGCUGAAUAGCAAGAGCGAGCAUGUUCCUCUGCUCCCGGGGCCCCACAGCCAAGCCGCCUGGGCCCUGAGUGAUACGCCCCUUUAAUUCACCCCCUCCAUUCUCCAGGGCUGCCUGCCUGGAUGCCAGGUCCCCUCAGACGACUUUCCAGGGGCCUGGGGAGGACGUUUCCAGGGGCCUCCUUUACUCACCUACCAUGUGACCUCUAUUAGGGGUGCCUAUGUCUCUGUGGGCAACAAAACACGGAAUGCCAGGGCCCUCCCAGCCGUUCGGUCCAGCAGUGGUGGGGUGGGCAGGGCUGGCAGGGGCGAUGUCUUGCUCCUGGCUGGCAGCCCUGCGCUCAGGCUUCCACACAGACACCACAUGGAGGAAACACGCCCAGCGGCGCCCGCGCCUGCCCUCCUCCCGCCUCUCACCACAGCUCCUCCAGAGACAGGAUGGGCAGCCACAUCCCUGCGGGCAUGCACCUGGGCAGGGGCAGGGCACAGAGGCAGCGCCAGCGAGAACCUGUCCUUACCGGAUCUGCUUGCUUGCAGAUGCCAGGGUUCCUCUGUCAUGCUGGGCUGAACACCUGGGAGGGGGAUCUGCUCCUGACGCCCCAGGCGUGGGAUGGGCAAAGGCAGGCAUCACUCACAUUUGUGGGAGGGAGGCUGGGCUGGCCUCUGUUCCCAGUGUCCACACGGGCAGGCUGACCUUCACUCCCGGCUCCUUGUACCCAAGGGAAGCAGGCUGUUCCACCUCCUCCUGUGAAAAUGACCCAUCCAGGUAGCAGGUCAAGCAUUUAGUCCACAAACUUUCACGAAGCCCCAAUUCCUCCAGGCACAGGUGGAGGCAUGGGACCCACUCCAGUAAACAGCAGGCUUGUUACACCACUUCACCAAGCUUUUAUUUCAUUUUUAUAAGCUUUUAGAAUAGAGCGGGGAGAAAGGCAAACCAGUGGAGGAGAACGACAUUGAGAACGGCCUGCGGAUGGCGGCUGGGCAGCGCCGGGUCUGAAGGUCAGGCUUCCCAACUUGAACAAGCUGAGAAGCCAGUGGGGUCACAUCUGCUCCUUUGUGGCCCAUAUUAUUAAAGCAGGACGAGAUGGGAUGACCACACCAGAAUCGCUGAGAGAGGAGACGUGGCAGCAGGUCAGGUUCUCUGAGCGGCUCUCCAAGGAGGUACCACCGUCUCCUCAGUUCAUCUGUGCUCUCCGGCAAGUCCAAAGUCACCCUCAGAACACCGAGGCUGGACACAACUCCCCCGUGCGCCUGCGGGGCCACACCUUCUCAAGUCCCACGAGCCCGAUCAGGAGGGGAUACUGUCUGCUUUGUCCUUUUUGUUGCAAUACAAUCUCACAGUCUCAGGGAAGAUGCAAGAAUUGCGCAAAAAAAGAACUCUCAUGUCCCCUUCCCCAGAUUCUCCCAUCAAUAACAUUUGCUUUCUCUCUCUCUCUAAACACAGAUAAAUAAAGAUGCAAGAUAGAAAAAGAGAGAGAGGUUUUUUCCCCUGCGCCGUCGUAGAUUAGGUCGCGGAAACCACACCUCUUCACUAAAUAUCUUUGCUUGAUAUCUCAGAGUAUUUCCUAAGAACAAGGACUUUGUCUUAUGUAAUCACAGCACAAUUUUCAAUAUCUGGAAAUGUAACGUGAACAUGGGACUACUACGGAACUCCCAGUUCACACUUACAUUUUGCCAAUUGUCCCCCCAGGCCGGGGUCAAAUCCAGGACCACGUUUUGCACUUACCUGCCAUGUCACUUUAGUCUCCUUUCACCUGCCUUUCUUUGUCUUUCAUGAUUCUAAGUUUUUUGGUAAGAGAACAGGCAGGUUAUUCAGAAUGUCCCAUAAUCUGCAUUUAUUUUACGGGUCCUCAGAAUUACAUUCGAGUUAUGCAUUUUUGUCAAGGAUACUACAGAAGGGAUGUAUAUUUGUUUCUUGUUGCUGCUGUAACAAAUGACUGCAAACUUACCGGCUUAGAAAAACACGAAUUUCUUAUUUUACAGUUUGGGAGGUCAGCCGUCUGACAUGGGUCUCACCGGUUAAAGUCAAAGUGUGACAGGGCUGCGUUCGUUCUGGAGGCUGUAGGGAGAAUCCAUUUCCUUGUCUUUCGGAGGUGCCCACAUACCUUGGCUGGUGGCCCCUUCCUCCAUCUUCAAAGUCAGCAUUGCAGCAUCUUAGAAUCUCUGACUCUUCUGCUAACCUCUUCUAUCUUUUAAGGAUCCUUCUUUUACAUUGGGCCCACCCAGAUAAUCCAGAAUAAUCUCCCUGUCUGAAGAUCCUUAAUUUAAUCUCAUCCGCAAAGACGUGAGAUAACAUCUUCACAGGUUCUGAGUAUCGGGGUGUGGACGUCUCUGGAGGGUCACUAUUCAUCACGUGAUGUUUGUCAUUCUUAGGGAUCACUUCAGGAGGCCUGUGAUGUCAGUCUGUCCCCGUUAUUGGUGACGGUAACUUUGAUAUUUGGUUCUGGCUGUAUUUGCAGGAUUAAUCCACUGUAAUCUAUUUUUACUUUUGUAAAAGUAUUUUUACUUUUGUAAUUUGUAAUUUUACAGUAAACGUGAGGAAGGAACUUUGAAACUGUGUAAAUAUCCUGUUCCUGGUCUCUACCAGAUCGAGCCUCCACUGAUGGCUCCUGCCUGAAUCGAUUAUUGCUGAGAAUCUUGCAAAAUGAUUCUGCAUUUCCACAUUACUUUCUACAGUUAUUACUUAGCAUUUUAUGUAAGGGAGAGCUUUGUCUCCUCCACUGCUUUAUUCAUUUCUUUCAUUGAUGGACUCAAGGAUUCCUUAUUCCAUGAACAUUCUGUUAUUAACGUUAUUUAUUUUGAUGUUCAAAUUGUCCCAGAUUUAGCCAGUGAAACCCCCUUCAAGCUGACUCCUGCAUGCUUUUAACAAGCCCCUGUCGUUUUUUGAAGACUUCCUUGUUUUCUGGCAUAAGAUGUUACAGGCUCACCUUGUUCUUGUCCUGCCCAGCCCUAGCAAUCACUCAUUUCCCCAAAGGGCUCUUUCCUUUUUGUGUAAAAUGGUACUUAGAAACCAAGAUCUGGGUGCUGGCUGUGCUCAUUGUUUUUGGAGUAUUUUUGCUUCUAGCCCUUUUCAGAGGACAGAUCCGAAAAGUAUAAAUAAAAAUAUGUAAGAAUAGUAGACACACAUAUCUAUACCUAUUUCUCCAGCUAUCUAUGUAUCAAUCAAAAACCAUGAGUUCACGCUGAUACCUUCAAUUCUAGCUCUGGGUCCACUCUAGCCUUCUGUCUUUCCAUAUUUGUAACUUGUUUCUCUGAGAGUGACAAACCCAACUCCCAUCAUCCUCAGUCUAUUUUCUUCUGGCUCAUUCCUACAAAUCACAGAAAAUAGUUUCAGAAUUGCCAUCCCACACCACUGCCAAAAGCGGAGGUCAAUAUUUAUCUGCAGUCCUGCUGUUCGUAGCCUGGAGGAUAUACAGCCAAAGUCUUGUGUUCCAAAGCCCCCCCUCACUAUGGUUAUGUCAUUAAUUUGAAAUACAGUUCGGUUCAUUUGUUUCUGCUUAUGUUCCACUAUAAGUUUUU